GGGGGGCGGCUWUCCGGAUUUAUUGGGCGUAAGCGAGCGCAGGCGGUUUUUUAAGUCUGAUGUGAAAGCCCUCGGCUUAACCGAGGAAGCGCAUCGGAAACUGGGAAACUUGAGUGCAGAAGAGGACAGUGGAACUCCAUGUGUAGCGGUGAAAUGCGUAGAUAUAUGGAAGAACACCAGUGGCGAAGGCGGCUGUCUGGUCUGUAACUGACGCUGAGGCUCGAAAGCAUGGGUAGCGAACAGGAUUAGAUACCCUGGUAGUCCAUGCCGUAAACGAUGAAUGCUAGGUGUUGGAGGGUUUCCGCCCUUCAGUGCCGCAGCUAACGCAUUAAGCAUUCCGCCUGGGGAGUACGACCGCAAGGUUGAAACUCAAAGGAAUUGACGGGGGCCCGCACAAGCGGUGGAGCAUGUGGUUUAAUUCGAAGCAACGCGAAGAACCUUACCAGGUCUUGACAUCUUUUGAUCACCUGAGAGAUCAGGUUUCCCCUUCGGGGGCAAAAUGACAGGUGGUGCAUGGUUGUCGUCAGCUCGUGUCGUGAGAUGUUGGGUUAAGUCCCGCAACGAGCGCAACCCUUAUGACUAGUUGCCAGCAUUUAGUUGGGCACUCUAGUAAGACUGCCGGUGACAAACCGGAGGAAGGUGGGGAUGACGUCAAAUCAUCAUGCCCCUUAUGACCUGGGCUACACACGUGCUACAAUGGAUGGUACAACGAGUUGCGAGACCGCGAGGUCAAGCUAAUCUCUUAAAGCCAUUCUCAGUUCGGACUGUAGGCUGCAACUCGCCUACACGAAGUCGGAAUCGCUAGUAAUCGCGGAUCAGCACGCCGCGGUGAAUACGUUCCCGGGCCUUGUACAACCCSSC
This 861-nucleotide ribosomal RNA is filed under the name Lacticaseibacillus casei. RNAcentral's name for it is "bacterial SSU rRNA". It matches the Rfam family "Bacterial small subunit ribosomal RNA", at positions 529 to 1394 of the family's 1533-position model. Lineage: Bacteria; Bacillati; Bacillota; Bacilli; Lactobacillales; Lactobacillaceae. The record is from RNAcentral.